Molecule: ribosomal RNA, 253 nt
Filed under: uncultured bacterium
Lineage: Bacteria
Description: partial 16S ribosomal RNA
Rfam family: Bacterial small subunit ribosomal RNA
Source: RNAcentral
UACGAGGGGUCCUAGCGUUGUUCGGAAUCAUUGGGCGUAAAGCGGGUGUAGGCGGACCAUUAAGUCAGAUGUGAAAGCCCCAGGCUCAACCUGGGAAGUGCAUUUGAAACUGGCGGUCUUGAGUACAGCAGAGGAAGGUAGAAUUCCAAGUGUAGUGGUGAAAUACGUAGAUAUUUGGAGGAACACCGGUGGCGAAGGCGGCCUUCUGGGCUGUUACUGACGCUGAGACCCGAAAGCGUGGGGAUCAAACAGG